Long non-coding RNA from Homo sapiens (human), 1948 nucleotides. RefSeq annotates it as long independently transcribed non-coding RNA 1532. The transcript is spliced from 5 exons. The record is from RefSeq and is marked validated. NCBI's taxonomy places the organism in Eukaryota, Metazoa, Chordata, Mammalia, Primates, Hominidae.
CGUUAUCCUCAGGAAGCCCUGAGCGCUGAGAGGCACUGUUACAGAACCGAACUGGGGUCCACUCGCUAGGCCUACCUAGGUGCCUGGAAUUUCCCUUCGAGGAACGCAGGAGUUUUCUUUAUUUUCAUGCUUGGGAAGGCUCAUUAGGCCCCUAAGAGAGGGUCCCUUCCCCAUCUCAGGACUAAAAUGCAAUGAAGAUGUUGCUCAGAGGCAGCUGGAGAGGGAUGGGUCUGUGGAGGAUGCCCCGCAGAGUGAAGUCGAGAUGAUGCAGCCACCAGGGCCGGAGGGGAGGGACAUUCCACUUUUUAAAUCAGCUUUCUGAAGCAUGAUCUCCAUAUAAUCACCUAGAAGCGUACAGCACAAUGAUCUUGACAGAUGCCAGCAUCCUUGGAACCACUGCCACCACCAACGUCUCAAACCAUUCCAUCAAACCCAGAACACUCCUGGUGCCCUGAAGCGUCUCCCUUCAGUGGCAGAACCAGCAGAGAUUCAGUGGUCACAAGGCUGGUCUGGAACUCCUGGGUGCAAGCGAUCCUUCCACCUCGGCCUCCCAAAGUGCUGGGAUUAGAGGCAUAAGCCACCGCGCCCAGCCAGGAAUGGAUUUUCUCACAGUUCUCGAUGGCGGAAGUCUGAGAUCAAGGUCUUGGCAGGGCUAGGUCUCUCUGAGGCCUUUCUCCCCAGCUUAUAGGUCGCCGCCUCCUCUCUCUGUCUUUCCUUGUCUUCCUUGUGUCCACAGUUGUGUCCAAAUUCCCCUUUCUCAUAAGGACGUCAGUCAUGUUGGAUUAGGGCCCUCCCUCCUGACCUUGUUUUAGCUUAAUCUCUGCAACUUAACCCUUAACCUCAGUAAAGAUCCUAUUUCCAAAUGUGUUCACAUUCUGAGGUCCUGAGGAUUAGGACUUUGAAAGGAUUAAAACAGGCUCUUCUGGCAUAUUGACAAUUUCAGCUAAAGACUCUUGAGAAACAGCAGGUGCAAAAAGAUCACAGUGACCUCCAUGCUGUACCUUGAGAUGAAAUUCCAAUGCGAAAGAUGCCCUCUCCACCCUAGAAGGGAAAGCAACAUCCUUAUCUUUGGGAGUGAAAAGUCCAAACUGAGAGCAUACUGUGAGUACCUCAUUAGCAUCAUUCCAUUCUCUGAGCUUCCCCGCAGACUUCAGUUGCUUCUUCACAGCUCUGCUCUUUGUCCCGUCCAAUCUCUGAGUAACUAACUCACUGCUUCUGCAGGUCUUCAUUUCUGCAGGAGGGCUCCCAUGCUACAUAAAUCCUGCAUUACACUUUUCUCCUGUUAGUCUAUGUUAUGUCCAUUUAAUUCUCAGGCCCAGCCGGGACCCUAAGAGGACAGAGGUGGAGUUUUUCCACCCCUACAACUUUACCCAAUCACAAUUCAAUCCUAACAGUGCCUUUCUCUGGAGGGGCUCUGCCAGCAUGAAUUCCUUUACGGGUGGAAGCCUCACAGUCCAGUCUACCAGUGAGGUCCACAUGGGAUUGGCUGGAGGGAGCUACGAAGUCAAGCGGCGUCAGGUACAGAGAAACAAAUCCCACAUCCAAGGGCCAGGAGGCGGUAGAGCAAACCACGCACAGCCGGGUGACUUAAGGGCAAGGAAGUCUUCCUGCAGGAGGUGAAUUUGGCACAAGGGAUACGUUUUUAGGCCCUGAGUGGAGGAUCUGGGUUUCAAACUGGACUUUUGAAAAACACACUCUUAUUGUAGAAGGGCCUGCGGGUUUGUUUUAAUCACUUCUCAAAGCUACGCUAGGCAUUCGCAGCUCAGGAUCCCCAGUUUAGCCUAAUAAAAAAAAGUAAUUACAUCAUAUUACAGAUAAUUUGAUUGUGUCUGAGACGAUAAUUGAGUUAAAACGCUUAUUGUAACAGACACAUCAGAUUGGCAAGGAGGAAGCUCGGCUUAAAUACAAACAGUGUUGAGAGUGGAAUUAAAGGAUUGCCAUUGCAGUU